This 334-nucleotide ribosomal RNA is filed under the name uncultured bacterium. RNAcentral describes it as "bacterial SSU rRNA". It matches the Rfam family "Bacterial small subunit ribosomal RNA", at positions 32 to 346 of the family's 1533-position model. The record is from RNAcentral.
AAUCAACGCUGGCGGCGUGCCUCAGACAUGCAAGUCGAACGCGAAAGUUCCCUUCGGGGGAUAAGUAGAGUGGCGUCCGGGUGAGUAACACGUAGGUAAUCUACCUUUGGGUGGGGAAUAACAACCGGAAACGGUUGCUAAUACCGCAUAAUGCAGCGGCACCACAUGGUGACAGUUGUUAAAGCGGGGGAUCGCAAGACCUCGCGCCUAAAGAGGAGCCUGCGGCGGAUUAGCUAGUUGGAGGGUAACGGCCUACCAAGGCAACGAUCCGUAGCCGGCCUGAGAGGGCGGUCGGCCACACUGACACUGAAAUACGGGUCAGACUCCUACGGGA